AACAGGAUUCCCCUAGUAACUGCGAGUGAAGCGGGAAAAGCUCAAAUUUAAAAUCUGGCGGUCUUUGGCCGUCCGAGUUGUAAUCUAGAGAAGUAAUGCCCGUGCUGGACCGUGUAUAAGUCUCCUGGGAUGGGGCGUCAUAGAGGGUGAGAAUCCCGUCUUUGACACGGACUACCAGUGCAUUGUGGUAUGCUCUCAAAGAGUCGAGUUGUUUGGGAAUGCAGCUCAAAAUGGGUGGUAAAUUCCAUCUAAAGCUAAAUAUUGGCGAGAGACCGAUAGCGAACAAGUACCGUGAGGGAAAGAUGAAAAGAACUUUGGAAAGAGAGUUAAACAGUACGUGAAAUUGCUGAAAGGGAAACGCUUGAAGUCAGUCGCGUUGGCCAGGGAUCAGCCUUGCUUUUGCAUGGUGUACUUUCUGGUUGACGGGUCAGCAUCAAUUUUGACCACUGGAAAAGGGCCUGGGGAAUGUGGCAGCUUAGGCUGUGUUAUAGCCCCUGGUCGCAUACAGUGGUUGGGAUUGAGGAACUCAGCACGCCGCAAGGCCGGGUUUCGACCACGUUCGUGCUUAGGAUGCUGGCAUAAUGGCUUUAAGCGACCCGUCUUGAAACACGGACCAAGGAGUCUAACAUGCCUGCGAGUAUUUGGGUGGAAAACCCGAGUGCGCAAUGAAAGUGAAAGUUGAGAUCCCUGUCGUGGGGAGCAUCGACGCCCGGACCAGAACUUUUGGGACGGAUCCGCGGUGGAGCAUGUAUGUUGGGACCCGAAAGAUGGUGAACUAUGCCUGAAUAGGGUGAAGCCAGAGGAAACUCUGGUGGAGGCUCGUAGCGAUUCUGACGUGCAAAUCGAUCGUCAAAUUUGGGUAUAGGGGCGAAAGACUAAUCGAACCAUCUAGUAGCUGGGUUCCUGCCG
Molecule: ribosomal RNA, 909 nt
Filed under: Agaricus sp.
Lineage: Eukaryota; Fungi; Basidiomycota; Agaricomycetes; Agaricales; Agaricaceae
Description: LSU rRNA
Rfam family: Eukaryotic large subunit ribosomal RNA
Source: RNAcentral